RNAcentral lists this ribosomal RNA (465 nucleotides) under Vreelandella stevensii. RNAcentral's name for it is "partial 16S ribosomal RNA". It matches the Rfam family "Bacterial small subunit ribosomal RNA", at positions 338 to 795 of the family's 1533-position model. The record is from RNAcentral. Lineage: Bacteria; Pseudomonadati; Pseudomonadota; Gammaproteobacteria; Oceanospirillales; Halomonadaceae.
CCUACGGGAGGCUGCAGUGGGGAAUAUUGGACAAUGGGGGGAACCCUGAUCCAGCCAUGCCGCGUGUGUGAAGAAGGCCCUCGGGUUGUAAAGCACUUUCAGUGAGGAAGAACGCCUGGUGGUUAAUACCCAUCAGGAAAGACAUCACUCACAGAGGAAGCACCGGCUAACUCCGUGCCAGCAGCCGCGGUAAUACGGAGGGUGCGAGCGUUAAUCGGAAUUACUGGGCGUAAAGCGCGCGUAGGUGGCUUGAUAAGCCGGUUGUGAAAGCCCCGGGCUCAACCUGGGAACGGCAUCCGGAACUGUCAAGCUAGAGUGCAGGAGAGGAAGGUAGAAUUCCCGGUGUAGCGGUGAAAUGCGUAGAGAUCGGGAGGAAUACCAGUGGCGAAGGCGGCCUUCUGGACUGACACUGACACUGAGGUGCGAAAGCGUGGGUAGCAAACAGGAUUAGAUACCCGAGUAGUC